Molecule: ribosomal RNA, 120 nt
Filed under: Periophthalmus magnuspinnatus
Lineage: Eukaryota; Metazoa; Chordata; Actinopteri; Gobiiformes; Gobiidae
Source: RNAcentral
CAACAUGGCCAUACUACCCUGAGAAAACCCGAUCUCAUUUUAUUUAAAAACCUAAGCAGGGUUGGGCCUGGUCAGUACUUGGAUAGGAUAGACUAUCAGUAAAUACUGUUGUUGUGUCCC